UCACUUAACGAUGGAUCUCUUGGCUCUUGGUAUGAUGAAGAACGCAGCGAAAUGCGAUACGUAAUGUGAAUUGCAGGAUUCAGUGAAUCAUCAAAUCUUUGAACGCACAUUGCGCCCUUGAUUCGUCUUGGGCAUGCAUAGUUCAGUCUUUGUAAACAAAACUCCAAUUUCAUUUAUUUGAGAUUAGGAAAACGUUUGUGAGAUGUCAAAAUCUCUCAAAUUUGUUUGAGUCGGUUCCGCGUCGGACCUCUUGACCUUGGGCAACUGUCUGGGGAAUUUAGUGUCUAUCACAACGAACUUCAAAUUUGUUUAUCCCUUAAGCUGAUCUUAUGUAAAACUACCCGCUGAAUUUAAACAUAUUAUUAAGCGGAGGAAAAGAAAAUAACUAUGAUUCCCUUAGUAAUGGCGAACGAACAGGGAUCAGUUCAAGCCUUUAAUCCUUCCCCUUGGGGACAGGAGUUGUGGUCUACCCCUUGUUUAUCUGUACCGUCGUCCCGACUAGAUCUAGCGAGAUAUAGUGUCACAGAGGGUUUCAACCCCGUCUGUUGGGAUUGUGUGUACUUAAGAUAGCUUUGGUGUGAGUCGUGUUGCUUGGGACUGCAGCACUAAUUGGGAGGUAAUAUCCUUCUAAAACUAAAUAUUACCAGGAGACCGAUAGCGAACAAGUACCGUGAGGGAAAGAUGAAAAGGAAUUUGAAAAGAANNNNNNNNUGUUCAUGCGUGCAUGUCACUGGAGUACACAAUUGGUUAACUGAGGAGAGAUUGUUCUUGUUCGUCUGUAGUCGUGAUUUUGAUUUCUUUUGUUUCCGCCACGGUGGGAUGAUUGAUUUUGGCUUCCUUCUGCUUUCGUUUGUUCAUCUUGACGUUAUUGGCGUUGUUAUCCGACCCGUCUUGAAACACGGACCAAGGAGUCUAACGUAUGUGCGAGUCCUCGAGUUGUAAACUCCAAGGCGUAGAGAAAUCGAUUGAAUGAUAACACUUAGUGUUCCUCAUCGGCUGUGAUUGAUUCUUCGGAUGAAGAAUACUCGCUUGAGCAUGUAUGUUGGGACCCGAAAGAUGGUGAACUAUGCUUGAUCAGGUUGAAGCCAGGGGAAACCCUGGUGGAGGACCGUAGAGAUACUGACGUGCAAAUCGUUCUUCAGAAUUGAGUAUAGGGGCGAAAGACUAAUCGAACCAUCUAGUAGCUGGUUCCCUCCGAAGUUUCCCUCAGGAUAGCUGGAGUUCUUAGGAGCCACGUGAGGUAAAGCGAAUGAUUGGAGGACUUGGGUUUGAAACAUUCUCUGCCUACUCUCAAACUUUAAAUGUGCGUGAACAUCUGAUUGCUUAGUUGAAUCGGGUUGUAGGGUCUAGAAUUCUUAGUGGGCCAUUUUUGGUAAGCAGAACUGGCGAUGCGGGAUGCUCCGGAAGCUGGGUUAAGGUGCCUAACUAAUCGCUCAUUCAGAUACCAUGAAAGGUGUUGGUUGAUUUAGACAGCAGGACGGUGGUCAUGGAAGUUGAAAUCCGCUAAGGAGUGUGUAACAACUCACCUGCCGAAUCAAGUAGCCCUGAAAAUGGAUGGCGCUCAAGCGAUUGACCGAUACUCAGCCAUCUGUGCUUUUGUGAUGCAUAGAUGAGUAGGAGGGCGUGACGAUAGUGCCGAAGGUGUGGCGGUGACGUCCACUGAAGCUGUCGUUAGUGCAGAUCUUGGUGUUAGUAGCAAAUAUUCAAAUGAAAACUUUGAAGGCCGAAGUGGAGAAAGGUUUCACGUGAAGUUUAAUGCGACGUGAGUGACCCAGUCCUAAUCGUCUCCUGAAAUGGAAAGAUAGGUUGCUUAGGCACCAUCACGAGAAAGGGAAACCGGUUAAUAUUCCGGUGGUGCAACCACGAUGCUAAGCGGUGACGCUGUAGAACCGGGUGACGCCAGCGAGGUCCCUGGAAAGAGUUUUCUUUUCUUUUUAACAAAUUGACAGGGAAUGGAAUGGGAUUAUCCCGAGAUAUUCCGUGUUGUUUGGCAAAGCAGGUGACUUUCUCACCUGUCCGGUGCGAUCUCGAUGGUCCAUGAAAAGCCUGGGGAUUAUUUACAUCAGAGUUGUAGCUGUACUCAUAACCGCAUCAGGUCUCCAAGGUGAAUAGCCUCUGGUCGAUGUGAUAAUGUAGGUAAGGGAAGUCGGCAAAUUAGGUCUGUAACUUCGGGAAAAAGACUGGCUCUUAGGGCUGGGCGUAUGAGGCUCGAAAUUGAAAUCUCCUAUUUCCGUCGUCUGGCUAGCUCUUCGGGGCAGGCCGAAUGAUCGUGAUUUGGGUGAUGGAUUUUUCGGGAUGCUUCGGCGAUCUCUGCGUAUUUAACAGCUAACUGAGAACUGGCGCGGACAAGGGGAAUCCGACUGUUUAAUUAAAACAAAGCAUUGUGAUGGUCGGAAACGAUGUUGACACAAUGUGAUUUCUGCCCAGUGCUCUGGAUGUCAAAGUGAUGAAAUUCAAGGAAGCGCGGGUAAACGGCGGGAGUAACUAUGACUCUCUUAAGGUAGCCAAAUGCCUCGUCAUCUAAUUAGUGACGCGCAUGAAUGGAUUAAC
RNAcentral lists this ribosomal RNA (2550 nucleotides) under hydrothermal vent metagenome. Its description in RNAcentral is "eukaryotic LSU rRNA". The stretch from base 318 to 2550 matches the Rfam family "Eukaryotic large subunit ribosomal RNA", at positions 1 to 2328 of the family's 3401-position model. The record is from RNAcentral.